AUGUCAGAGUCAAGUGAGCCUACAACUCAGGUUAGGGAAAGCAUAGAAGAAUAUCAAGUUGGUGUUGCUGAAGUCCAGCAAGAGAAAGCGCAGCAGCCAAGACGAAGUCAAAGAGUCAGAACUCUAACCGAAAAAGGUAGAGAAUUGCAAGAUGAAAAAACUAAAGCGCUUCAUCAAAGGUUCAAUUACAUUUAUGAUAAAUGGAGAACCCAAGUUAAAUCUUCAAAGAAGUCAUUAUCACAGUCAACAGAGCCCUUACCUGAUGAUCUGCUUAAUGACAUCAUCGGUUGCAUCACAGGUCUUUCUGCAGACGUUCAGCGUGUUUAUGAUGAACUACGUGACGUCUCAAUUCCAGAGCAAGACACGCAUCGAAAAGUGGAUCUGUGUGUAGAGAUUUCCAAGUUCAUUGUAUCCAGAGCCUCAAGUCGACUGGAUGGAAAGAUUCCAGAAGGAGAAAAACAAGAUUGGCCUGAAUCAGGCUCUCUCUUCGACUCAAGUACAUACAAAUCAGGUUCUGUCACUUCUUUCUUGAAAAGCAAUUCGGUGCAUUCAAGUAGGUCUUCUGUUAAACGACAAGAAGAUGCUGCUGAAGCUGCUGCAAGCCAAGCUGUUCUGAAAGUGUUACAAGAACAAGAGAAAGAACAAUUGGAAAUACAGCGCCUAGAAGCAGAAGCUAAAAGGAAGAUAGCUGAUCAAGAAGCAGCAGCAGUAAGGCGUUGUUUAGAACGAGAAGCAGAGGAAGUGAAACGAAGACUACAGAAAGAGGAAGACGAAUCUAAAAUUAAGGCUCAAAUGGAAGAAGAGUUUGGAGCUCUACAGAAAACUCUGGAAGAAAAACGGAGGAAGAUACAGCAUCUGGAGGCAGUAAAAGGUCUUAAUGCAGCACGAGCGAGAAUGCAGGUAUAUGAUCAAAUGAAAGUCAUAGAAGAAGAACGGAAAGACAUACUGGAGCAUGAGAUGGUAGCAGAUAACAAAGUCCCGGCUCCUUCAAAUCCUCAGGCUCUACGUAUGAACUCAAUCCCACAAGCUAUGACCACUUCAAAUGAAAGUACAUCAGAGCUCAUUAAGGUGCUUGCAGGCGCUUUAAGUGCCAACAGAAUUCCAGUUCCUGAACCUUCAGUUUUCAGUGGCGAUCCAUUGCAAUACAACGAUUGGAAACUCUCCUUUGAAACACUGAUCGACCAGAAGAACCUUCAAGACAAAGAAAAGAUAUACUACCUUCGAAGAUAUGUGAGUGGAAAAGCUAAGAAAGCACUCGAUGGUUAUUUUCUUCUCGGAACUGAGUCUGCCUAUGUUGCUGCAUGGGAGAUUUUGGAAGAGAGAUACGGAAACCGAUUUACGAUUGCAAAAGCAUACAGAGACAAGCUCCAAGCGUGGCCCAAAAUAGGAUCUAAGGACAGCCUUGAGCUCAGGGAGUUCAGUGAUUUUCUCCGUAGUUGUGAAGCUGCCAUGGUUCACAUCAAGGCAUUGGAAAUCUUGAACGACUGUAAUGAAAACAGGAAAAUUCUCUCCAAGUUACCUGAUUGGCUAACGGCAAGAUGGAAUCGGAAGGUUAUCGAAGUAGAAGAAGAGAUAAACCAAUUUCCCUCCUUUAGCCAAUUUGUCAAAUUUCUGGCAAGGGAGGCCAAAAUUGCCUGCAAUUCUGUCACAUCAUUGCAGUCACUAAAACAAGGUGAAGCUGAAAACCCAAAAGUCCAAAAACAACAAAACUUCAGAGCAAAGACACUGACCACAAGUUCCAGCGAACAGACUUUUAUCACAUGCACUUUCUGUAAGAAAACUGGGCAUACUUUGCACAAAUGCAGGAAGUUCAUGCAGAAAGCAGUUUCAGACAGAAUCAAAUUCAUUCAAGUUGAAAGUCUAUGCUUUGGGUGUCUCAGGUCUGGUCACCAGUCAAAGAACUGCAACAGUAGAAGUGUCUGCGACAUUUGCAAUAAGCGGCAUCCUACCUGUCUGCAUGAGGAGCGAGACAAAAAAGAACAAAGACCGCCACAAGCCAAGCAAAAUCCAAGUCAAGAAAGAUACAGAGAAAUACCUCAAUCAUCCCAACAUGAAGAAACCACAGCUGCUACUUCCAAUAGAGUAAUACUUGGUGAAGCUAAUGCACAAACAGCUGCAGUAAUUCCUGUCUGGCUUUCAUCCUUAACUCAACCAGAAAAAGAAGUCCUUGUAUAUGCUCUGUUGGAUUCUCAAAGCGACACAACCAGAGGUGUAAAAAGUACUCAAAAUUUUUACUCAAGUGAAAGUACAAGUACUUAG
RNAcentral lists this long non-coding RNA (2259 nucleotides) under Carassius auratus (goldfish). RNAcentral describes it as "lncRNA (ENSCARG00000003520.1)". The record is from RNAcentral. Lineage: Eukaryota; Metazoa; Chordata; Actinopteri; Cypriniformes; Cyprinidae.